Molecule: long non-coding RNA, 7400 nt
Filed under: Hordeum vulgare
Lineage: Eukaryota; Viridiplantae; Streptophyta; Magnoliopsida; Poales; Poaceae
Description: long non-coding RNA (HVUL_LNC001182)
Source: RNAcentral
CUUUUAUUACUUCGGUUCUUCUAUUUUGCAGAUGCUUUCGCUUAAAGAUUUGCAGAGAUCAAUGAGGAUUCGGGUGGCGGGGAAGGGGCUGGUGAUAGGAAAUAUGGGUCCAAGAAGAAAUUAAAGAGCAUGGUGAGUUGUUCCCCCUUUUCAAAUUUAAAACCUAGACUAGAGUCUUCUAGUUUAGUAAUUUGAUUAGGAUAGCAUAAUAUUUUGCUACUACCUUGCUAAUAGCUUCGCGAGGUAAUUCAGUCAGCUAUAUAUGUGUUUUUUUUACUGUAGUGAGAUCACUUAUUUUAAUUUAGAGAAAAUAGAAACAUGAAUUGUGGUUAUAAGAAUCUAAUAGUAGAUGUUCUUAGCAUGAACAGGCUCCGUAAUGUACCUACUGACUAAUAGCACAACAGAAUCCUUCUUGCGAAGCGUCCGUCAAUCAAGACUUGGCAUGCCCGGUUUUACUUUACAAAGAGUAGUAUGUGGUGCUCUAAUAUUCAAUCGUGUUCUUGAAUUGGGAAUUAUGUUUUCAAUAGUUAACGUGUUUGUGUGUUGGGCUGAUGUAUAUAAGUGAAAGAAAAUUAAAAACGGAUGGAGGAAGGGAACUUCUUGCUUUUUUCUUCCGUUUUUUUUCUCUGUUUGAUCAGUACUCCCUACGAUGAGAAGGUUUGAGAAUAGAAACAUCCUACUCUUUGAUCCCUUUCAGUGUGAACGGCUCGAAGGCAAGCUCGGCUGUUUGCUCCUCGCUCUAUUGGUUGUGUCUCUGGCUUCCCCCUGCACAGUGCCACAUGCGUGUUUGUGGCUUGCGUGCUGCUGCUGCUUGUAUGGUGUGUUGGCUUGAUGCGUGUGUGUGGGUGCGCUAGCUAGGCGAGGAUCACUGGCUCACUGCUCUCUCUGUAGCUUCUUAGGAAAAAAAAACUUUGCCUCUGGUCUGCAUCAUGCUUGUAGAAUCUUUUCAGGCAGGUAGUGGUAGGAACAACUAGGGUUCUACCGGGUCUAGAGCGGAGGUUGUAGGGAAUGAAGCGGGGUUGGCGUGGGCUGGAGCGCGGCGGCCGGCGGCGGGGCGCCGUUGUGCGCGAGAGGGAAGCAGCGGCGGUGGUAGGCGGCGCAGUUAGGGUUCCGACUCCUCUGGGAGCCGGGCAAUAGAGUUAUGACUAUAUUGCUUAAUUCCAAAAGAGCUGUUUACAUCGGUUUAUGUAAUCUCACGGCUGACUAAGAUAACUUGGAAACUAAGAUAACUUGGGCUAAGCCCGUAACUAACCCUGCCCAUUGGGCCUCCUCCUUUGGUACGUAGUACCGGUCAUAACAUCUCUCCCCGCCUGCCCAAACAGCUCGUCCUCGAGCUGGAAGUCUGGAUAGUGCUGGCUGAAUUUGUCACGCGGCUCCCAAGUCGCGUCCUCCUCUGGAAGGCCUUCCCAUUGGAUCAACAGGUAUCACACCCCGCGACGUAGUUGGGCCCGCAACACCUUUGCUGGCCCGGGAAGGAGGCGCCCAUCGGAGGUCGGGGGUAGCGCCGGCGUGGCCGCCGGUGGCUCCCCACGGAAAGGCUUCAGGAGCCCCACAUGGAAGACGUCGUGGAUGCGAGCACCGGCCGAAAGCUGAAGGCGGUCAAGGGACUGCGUAGAACGGUGAAGGAGACGCAGCCACACCCAAUCGCCCACCGCGAACUCUGCCUCGCGGUGGUGGCCGUCAUAGUAGUGCUUGGCCAACUACUGGGCCUGAACGAGGCGUUGGCGCACCUCGGCAAGCAUCUCAUCGCGGCUGCGAAAAAGAUCACCCGCCGCCUCCGUCCUAGCCGUCUCUGGGUCAACCGGCAGGAUGGGCGGGGCCGGUCGGCCAUAGACCACCUCGAACGGCGUGGCGCGCGGGGCGGAGUGAUAAGAGGUGUUGUAGUAGUACUCCGCCCGCGCAAGCUAGCCCACCCAAGCACGAGGACGAUCACCUGUAACACAACGCAAAUACAUGGCAAUCACCUUGUUGACCACCUCGGAUUCGUCGUCCGUCUGAGGAUGGAAUGCCGUGCUCAAGCGGACCUUCACGCCUGCCAUCCUGAAGAGAUCGCGCUAGACAUGCCCCGUGAACACCGGGUCCCGGUCGAUGCCGAUCGAAGAGGGAAACCCGUGUAGGCGAACGAUGCCGUCGAAGAAGGCCCGAGCCACGGAGGUGGCGGUGUAAGGAUGGCCAAGCGCGAUGAAGUGGGCGUACUUGGAGAAGCGAUCGACCACUGUGAGGAUGACGGACUUGCCGCCCACCUUGGGGAGGCCCUCGACGAAGUCCAUGGAGAUAUCGGUCCAAACCUGAGAGGGCACCUCCAAGGGCUGCUGUUGUAGCAGCCCUGCCGGCCGCCGUGUCUCCGUCUUAUUAUGAUGGCACGUCAUACAAGACCGCACCCAGUCCCAAACCAGGGCCGGGUCGCCGGGGAUGUAGAAGUCGGCACGGAGAUGGUGGAGGGUCUUCUCCACACCCUCGUGGCCCGCCGAGUGGGCCAGUAGCAGCACCUGAUGACGGAGGUCGCCGUGAUCCGGCACGAAGAGGCGUCGCCCAUGCAGGAGCAGGCCCUCCGCCAAACGCCACGGCUCCUCCAGGUCGUCGGCAUCAAGGCGCUGCCGAAGUAACUGCGUGUCGGGCGCGUCCGUGGUGGCCCGACGGAUGUCGUCGAAGAGGGCAAACGAGGGCCCGGAGCGGAUGCAGAGGGCUGCCCCGUCGGAGUCGUCCGCGCCAGCGUCGUGGUCGUCGUGGAGGGACAGGGCGUCGGCCACGGUGUUAAGGCGGCCCGGACGAUACUUGAUGGUGAAAUCGAAGCCAAAGAGCUUGCUGAUCCAAUGGUGCUGCGGCACGGUAGACAACCUCUGGUCCAAUAAGAACUUGAGGCUGUAGUGAUCCAUCCGGAACGACCGUCCCCAAAGAUAUGGCCGCCAGUGGUGCACGGCCUGCACCAAACCAAUGAGCUCCCUCCCAUAGGCCGCGAGCUUGUGAUGGCGUGCGGCGAAAGGCGUGCUGAAGAACGCGAGGGGCCCGUCGCCCUGAUGAAGGACGGUGUCGAACCCCACGCCGGAGGCGUCGCAGUCGACCAUGAACGGCCAGUCGAAGUCGGGCAUCUGAAGGACGGGACCCGUUGUGAGGGCCCGUUUGAGGGCCUCGAACGCCUCCGUGGCCUCCGCAUCCCAGGCGUCGCUUCGGAGCAGGCGCUUGAGCGGGGACGCAAUGAGGCCGAAUUCCUGGAUAAAUUUCCGGUAGUAGCCUGCGAGGCGCAGGACUCCGCGGAGAGCCCGCGGGGAGUGCGGCGUCGGCCAGGCUGCAACGGCCGCCACCUUGUCGGCGUCCAUAGCAACACCCUUGGCUGAGAUGACGUGGCCGAGAUAGGCGACUGAAGGCGUCCCGAACGAGCACUUAGAGCGCUUAAGAUGAAGACGGUGCGCUCGAAGCUCGUUGAAGACGAUGGCGACGUGCUGAAGAUGUUCCGCCCAUGUUGUGCUGUAGAUAAGAAUGUCAUCAAAGAAAAGGAGUACAAACCGAUGCAAGUAGGGCCGGAGGACGUCGUUCAUGAAGGCCUGAAAAGUUGCCGGGGCGUUGGAGAGGCCAAAAGGCGUCACCAAGAACUCAAAGUGGCCGUGAUGAGUCCGAAACGCCGUCUUCGCGACAUCGUCCGGGUGCAUCCGCACUUGGUGAUAGCCCGAACGGAGGUCGAGCUUGGUGAAGAAGCACGCCCCAUGUAGUUCGUCCAUGAGCUUGUCGACGGCCGGAAUGGGAAAUUUGUCUUUGAGCGUCAAGGGCGCAGUAGUCGAUGCAGAAGCGCCAUGAGCCGACCGACUUGCGGACUAGGAGGACCGGCGCCGAAAACGGUGAAGUGGAGAUCCGGAUGAUGCCCAGGGCUAGCAUGAGCGCGCAUUGCCGCUCCAGCUCGUCCUUCUGCAGCUGGGGGUAACGGUAGGGACGCACCGCCACCGGCGCCGUGCCUGGCAGGAGAUGGAUGCGGUGGUCAUACACCUGGGCCGGCGACAGACCUUGAGGCUCGUCGAAGAGGUCGCUGUGCUGCUGCAGGAGAUGAUCCAACAGAGGGUGCGUGGACUCGGCAGCAGUCGCGGCCAGCUGCGGCUGUGGCGUCGCUGGUGGGGCGCCACCCACGCCCUCCCAUCGUACGCGGCGACCCAGGCGCCAGAAGGUCAUCGUCAGGGCGUCGAAGUCCCAGAGAAUGGGACCCAGGGUCCGCAAGAGGUCGACGCCGAGGAUGAAGUCGAAGCAGCCCAAGUCGAUGCCGGCACAUGUGAUCGUGAAGUGUUCGUCGCCGAUGGUGAUGGGAACGUCCCGUGCAAGCCCAUGACAUCGGAGAUGGUCGCCGUAAGCCACGGUGACCUGCAGCUGCUCCCCGCCUGUCGGCUGAAGUGCCAAGCGGCGCAUGGUCGACUCGGGCAGGAAGUUAUGUGUGGAGCCCGUAUCCAGAAGGACCAGGAGCAUAGUCCUCUCUGCUCGUAUACCCGCGAGGGCAUGGAGGGAGACCACAAGAGCUGUCGCCGGUGCCGGUGUGACCUCCGCAGCAGCUGGUGCGGCCAAGUCGCCGAGCUCGUCGGCGGGCGUUUCCUCCUCGACGUAGGGGCCCGCGGAGCUUGAGGGACCCCCGUACUGUACAGUGGUCGCCGACUGCUCCGACGCCAUCGUGUAAACCGGCGGCGGAACGAACCCGGCCAACCAGGCCGGAAGUGGGGACAGGAACCGGACCUGCUGGAUCGGGACGCCUGCUGGUGUUGUGGAAGGCGGCCCGAAGCUGAACUGCGGCGGCCCCGGCAGCUGCAGCGGCUGCUGGAAGGGGGAGGCCGACGCAGCCGACGCCCCAAGCGCCUGGGUCGGCCAGGGNNNNNNNNNNNNNNNNNNNNNNNNNNNNNNNNNNNNNNNNNNNNNNNNNNNGGCCUGCAACGGGGCGGUGAUGACGAUCUGGAAGGUGGUGGCGGGCGGGAUGGUGGUGACGGUCGGCGAGGAUGACAUGAUCGGCCUGGAGUCUCUAGAUACUAAAUUGGUAGGAACAACUAGGGUUCUACCGAGUCUAGGUCGGAGGUUGUAGGGAAUGAAGCGGGGUUGGCGUGGGCUGGAGCGCGGCGGCGGGGCGCAGUUGCGCGCGAGAGGGAAGCGGCGGCAGUGGUAGGCGGCGGCGCAACUAGGGUUCCGGCUCCUCUGGGAGCCGGGCAAUAGAGUUAUGACUAUAUUGCUUAAUUCCAAAAGGGCUGUUUACAUCGCUUUAUAUAAUCUCACGGCUGACUAAGAUAACUUGAAAACUAAAAUAACUUGGGCUAAACCCGUAACUAAUCCUGCCGAUUGGGCCUCCUCCUUUGGUACGUAGUACCGGUCAUAACAGGUAGAUGUUUCCAAGAUCAAGAGAGAAAAGGUCCUUGCAUGUAUACACUUUUAGAUGACACAUGACCAGAAGUCUUUCCUAUGAAAAUCCAUCCGACGCUCAACUUUAGUGACUGGUGUAGCGAUCCAGGAUUUUAUCCUAAACUGCUAUUAAACUCACAAGGAGGAACAAUUUAAUAACAACAGAAGUCUAGCCAUGCUUUUUGAUAUACUGUGUAUAUGUAUGUUGUACUAGCAGUUCCUAUUUUUUGAAUAUUGCGUACCAGAAAAUUGAAUUGGGAAGGCAUGCAUAAAUAUGAGGUGUUAAAUUAUGUUUUGAGAGGGAUUUUUUCAUUUCCAAAACCAAGGAAGUUGGAUGAGCUUAAAGCACCUAUUCACCAGCUAACUGAACUUUUCUAAUUGUAUUUUAAAUCCACAACAGGGCAAAAUCAUUGCUCAUUCCCAGAUCAUCUAAAUCAGAUAGACGGGCCCCAAACACAGUGCCAUUUGUCGUUUGUGUGUUUGAUUUUUAGUUGAGUGCCUUUGGAUCGAUGGUACUAUGGAGAGGUGACAUUAGCACGAUUGAUGAUUGCUUAUCUCCUGUCGACAACAUCUCAUUCCUCUGUAUGUCAAUAUAUCAACAAAACAAGAGAUCUAUAAUAUCAGUCUUUAUGGAGUUCACAGAUUAUUGAAGAUUUUUGCUGCCAUGGAAUUGUGAGUUUGUGACUAUACAUUCUUGUGUCCUACAUGUGAAUUGAAGAUAUAUUAUCUAUGUAUGUGAAUAUAAAUAUCUAGGUAUGUAAGCAAGUCCUAACUUUUAUUUACAUAUUCAUCUAUGAAAUGCAUGCAAGCAAAUCAUAUCUUACAGAUAAUUGCUCCCUUAUAGGUGAACCUGAUGAUUCAUAAAUUAACCGGUUGGAGAUCGGUAGACAGUCAAGUGUAUUGAUAACUGGAGUUUAGAUCUCAAAAUCCUUCUAACGUUUCUACUGACUAUGUUUUCUUGACAGCUUUGAGAGAAGAAAAAGUACUGUUGGUCAUUCUCUCGCAUGUAUAGUAGUACAAUACUGGAUAUGCGAAUGGAUAAUGUUCAUUUAGUAGUCUGUUAGUAGAUGAUGAUUUCUUUUCUUCGUAGUCAAUUGGUGUGUAUAUCCUGAUAUGUUCAGUCUAUUCCCAAAUUAAUUUGUAAAGUAGCCUUAACAAUUAUACAGUCUCUCUGAGUCUCUGUGUAUCAGUACUCUGUUUUCUGGACAGCUGGAAGAAAUCAGUUUGUCAUAACAUGUGAAAAUGAGUUUAUUUACCUGCACUUUUGCUUUUAUGAGUUAGCAAAGAUGUUUGUCAAAUAGUUAGGCAUCACAGUGAAGCUUGGCAAAGGGACUUCUGGUGAGGCCUAUAACAAGGCUGGAAACACUGUAUGUAAGGUGGUGCUCUCUGAUGGAUAUUCAUUUGUCAACUAAUACAUGACCAUAUACUAGAGAAGUACACGCCGCGCACACACAAGGACCCUAACAGGUUCUAAAUAUGUGCGUGGAUGAUCUUUAAAUACCUGGAUGAUUAUUCCGCAUAAACAAAGUCACAUUGUCAUUUUUAACACAGGAACAAAGCAGUGCCCCAUAACACAAAAGCUCUGUUCGUGUUGAGUAGCAAAUUCAUUCAUUAGUUAUGGGGGCAUCAAGAAGGGCAAAAACCAACGCGCUGAGACAUACCUGUUCCAUAUAACCAUGCGGAAAGUAGUAAAUCCUUUCACCUUGGUGAGACAUUAUGAUCAACGGCCUAGCUCAGGCACACCAUAGCUCCUUGUAUAAUGCGUCGCUAGAACAUCCUGCACAAAGGAUUCAUUAUGUGAACUAGGCAUACAAUUCAAGGGACCUUUCAGCUUACUUUGUAGCGGCAAAUUAUAACAGUUGAUCAUGAGUUAAUUUAACCAGUAUUACUAAACUGGUACUGCAUGCAGGUAUACACCACUUGCCUGACAUGGUAGCACCAAUUUACAAUAUAACCAUUAAGAUUUUAUUUCUGAAAAUAUAGGAGCCACACCACCCUGUUCCAUUUCAUCAAUGAAACAAGACUUUUACAACAUGUAAGAG